This 468-nucleotide ribosomal RNA is filed under the name uncultured bacterium. RNAcentral describes it as "partial 16S ribosomal RNA". It matches the Rfam family "Bacterial small subunit ribosomal RNA", at positions 28 to 507 of the family's 1533-position model. The record is from RNAcentral.
GACGAACGCUGGCGGCGUGCUUAACACAUGCAAGUCGAACGGAAAGGCCCUGCUUUUGUGGGGUGCUCGAGUGGCGAACGGGUGAGUAACACGUGAGUAACCUUCCCUUGACUUUGGGAUAACUUCAGGAAACUGGUGCUAAUUCCGGAUAGUAGCUUCUGCUGCAUGGUGGGUGUUGGAUUGUUUCGGCGGUUGGGGAUGGACUCGCGGCUUAUCAGCUUGUUGGUGGGGUAGUGGCUUACCAAGGCUUUGACGGGUAGCCGGCCUGAGAGGGUGACCGGCAACAUUGGGACUGAGAUACGGCCCAGACUCCUACGGGAGGCAGCAGUGGGGAAUAUUGCACAAUGGGCGGAAGCCUGAUGCAGAAACGCCGCGUGCGGGAUGACGGCCUUCGGGUUGUAAACCGCUUUCGCCUGUGACGAAGCGUGAGUGACGGUAAUGGGUAAAGAAGCACCGGCUAACUACGUG